RNAcentral lists this ribosomal RNA (209 nucleotides) under Parabacteroides distasonis. RNAcentral describes it as "partial 16S ribosomal RNA". It matches the Rfam family "Bacterial small subunit ribosomal RNA", at positions 1 to 197 of the family's 1533-position model. The record is from RNAcentral. Lineage: Bacteria; Pseudomonadati; Bacteroidota; Bacteroidia; Bacteroidales; Tannerellaceae. RNAcentral also lists the same sequence under 1 other name.
CAAUUUAAACAACGAAGAGUUUGAUCCUGGCUCAGGAUGAACGCUAGCGACAGGCUUAACACAUGCAAGUCGAGGGGCAGCACAGGUAGCAAUACCGGGUGGCGACCGGCGCACGGGUGAGUAACGCGUAUGCAACUUACCUAUCAGAGGGGGAUAACCCGGCGAAAGUCGGACUAAUACCGCAUGAAGCAGGGGCCCCGCAUGGGGAU